This is a long non-coding RNA of Helianthus annuus (common sunflower), 1023 nucleotides long. RefSeq lists it as uncharacterized. NCBI's taxonomy places the organism in Eukaryota, Viridiplantae, Streptophyta, Magnoliopsida, Asterales, Asteraceae. The record is from RefSeq and is a predicted model, not a curated record. The transcript is spliced from 2 exons.
CUCGAGCCAGGUGAGCUCAAGCUCUGUUCAAAUUUUCAACCAACCUGGCUUGGUUAAGCUCGGGUUGAAUUUUAAACUGACCUAAGUAUUUGAGCGGGGCUUGGCUACUUUACAAACUGAGCCGGCUAGGCUGCUUGCUUUACCUUGAUUGCUCAUAUUCAUUUAUGCAUUUUCUUCUAAAUUCAACCAUUUAUUAUUUGCUCGAGUAAGGGUCAGCUUGAGCUUGACUCGAAUUUUAAACCGAGCUGGCUCGGCUCGAAUUUCUAAAUCGAGUUGAAUGUUUGUUCCAGAGCUCGGCUACCUUACAAAUUGAGUCAACACGGCUAGGCUCGCUUUCGCUCAAUUGCUCAGAUUUGUUUUUACAUUUUCUUUGAGGUUCAGCCAUUAAUCAUUUGCUUUAGCCUUGAGCUCGGCUCGAAUUCUAGAUCGAACCGAGUAUUUGAGUUGGGGCUCCACUUGGUCCAUUUCUACAUUUUCUUAUAAAUUCAACCGUUAAUCUUUUGCUUGACCCAUGGUCAGCUUGAGCUCAGCUCUAAUUUAUCCUGAGAUGGCUCGACAUGGAUAGGAUUCGAAACCAAUUUGAACCAAGCUCGAGCCAGCGUCAGCUCGAAAUCAGCUUUUAAACCAAUUCUGAAGUAGGCUGAAUAGUUGAGCUGGGGCUAGGCUCCCUUACAAACCAAGCCAACUUUGUUGGGCUCGGGUCACCUUACCUCGAUUGACCAGUUCACUAUGUGGGAAGUUUGCUUGAUGGAACUUGGUUUGAUUCAAACUACAAGCUACGAUCGACAAAUGCCGUUUAAACUCAAGCUCGGGCUUGGUAAGAGUUAUAACAGACUACCUGGUUAAAUAAUUUUUAUUAUCAGGUUGUGUUUCUAAUCACUUGUGGAUUGUGUUCUUGAUAGCAUAGUUAUGUUUCACAUUGGAGAAAGUUUCGUUGAUUCUUAUCUUCGCAAUAUUUGAAAUAAGCAGUUUGGUCGUACAUAAGUGGAAUAUUAAAGAUAAGGAUACCUACCUCAGUGUCGA